AUUGAACGCUGGCGGCAGGCCUAACACAUGCAAGUCGAGCGGAUGAAGGGAGCUUGCUCCUGGAUUCAGCGGCGGACGGGUGAGUAAUGCCUAGGAAUCUGCCUGGUAGUGGGGGAUAACGUCCGGAAACGGGCGCUAAUACCGCAUACGUCCUGAGGGAGAAAGUGGGGGAUCUUCGGACCUCACGCUAUCAGAUGAGCCUAGGUCGGAUUAGCUAGUUGGUGGGGUAAAGGCCUACCAAGGCGACGAUCCGUAACUGGUCUGAGAGGAUGAUCAGUCACACUGGAACUGAGAAGCGGUCCAGACUCCUACGGGAGGCAGCAGUGGGGAAUAUUGGACAAUGGGCGAAAGCCUGAUCCAGCCAUGCCGCGUGUGUGAAGAAGGUCUUCGGAUUGUAAAGCACUUUAAGUUGGGAGGAAGGGCAGUAAGUUAAUACCUUGCUGUUUUGACGUUACCAACAGAAUAAGCACCGGCUAACUUCGUG
RNAcentral lists this ribosomal RNA (484 nucleotides) under uncultured bacterium. Its description in RNAcentral is "partial 16S ribosomal RNA". It matches the Rfam family "Bacterial small subunit ribosomal RNA", at positions 30 to 507 of the family's 1533-position model. The record is from RNAcentral.